This 667-nucleotide small RNA is filed under the name Pongo abelii (Sumatran orangutan). Its description in RNAcentral is "processed transcript". Lineage: Eukaryota; Metazoa; Chordata; Mammalia; Primates; Hominidae. The record is from RNAcentral.
CAAGGAAAGCAAGGAGCUGCAGCCGGGGGCUUUGUGAGAGCCCUGUGUAGUCUACUCCUGUAGGAACCACCUUAGCUGGAAGCAGGGUGGUGAGCUGCUGGGGCUGGAUUAUUUGGGACUGAAAUGAAGCAGACAGGAGACAAAUCUGGGCUCAGGUGUAUGGCCCACAGCUUUAGAAAUGCUCUUCAACUGUCCCCCAGGAUUGAUCCAUAGGAGAGGCCGUUAUUCAGUCUAGUCAAAAAAAGAAAGCACAGGACUCCUGGGCCUAAGAACUGCAUCUGAAGCAGCCAGGCCUGGGGUUUUGCAUUGAGAUUAAAGCACAUUAAGCACAGGGGCUCUUACCUACUCUCCUGGCAAAUCGUCUCCUGUGCCACUGGCCUUGGGCUGCUCGAUCUCACAGACAGGGCAUUUUGAGUAGAGACAAGCUCUGGGCUUUGAGAGCUGAACAGCAUUUUUCUCCUGCCUCAUCAGUCACAGGGACUGGAAGUCCAUCUUGUUCCCUGAUCCUUCACAGAUCAAGGUGAUGCCUACCUCUUUGGAGCUGCUGCCUCUAGCUCUCCACGGCUGCAUGCUCCUCUGCGUGGCCCAGCCUUCACAGCACUCCAGAAGAAGCUGAUGCCCUGAGGCUGGGCACAGUGGAAAUCAUAAUAAAGCGAUUGCAAUGCUC